UAAGGAAUAUUGCGCAAUGGGCGAAAGCCUGACCCAGCAACGCCGCGUGCAGGAUGAAGGCCCUCGGGUCGUAAACUGCUGUCGGGAGGGAAGAAAGGCAGCGGGAGGAAAUGACCGCUGCCUGACGGUACCUCCAAAGGAAGCGCCGGCUAACUCUGUGCCAGCAGCCGCGGUAAGACAGAGGGUGCAAACGUUGUUCGGAAUUACUGGGCGUAAAGCGCGUGUAGGCGGCGUAGCAAGUCGGGCGUGAAAGCCCACGGCUCAACCGUGGAAGAGCACUCGAAACUGCUGCGCUAGAGUUCUGGAGAGGAAGGCGGAAUGCUUGGUGUAGAGGUGAAAUUCGUAGAUAUCAAGCGGAACACCGGUGGCGAAGGCGGCCUUCUGGACAGUGACUGACGCUGAAACGCGAAAGCGUGGGGAGCAAACAGGAUUAGAUACCCUAGUAGUCCCUGAGCGGGCUGGCAAGGCGCAU
This 472-nucleotide ribosomal RNA is filed under the name uncultured bacterium. RNAcentral describes it as "bacterial SSU rRNA". It matches the Rfam family "Bacterial small subunit ribosomal RNA", at positions 355 to 825 of the family's 1533-position model. The record is from RNAcentral.